This 2903-nucleotide ribosomal RNA is filed under the name Escherichia coli. Its description in RNAcentral is "23S ribosomal RNA". It matches the Rfam family "Bacterial large subunit ribosomal RNA". The record is from RNAcentral. Lineage: Bacteria; Pseudomonadati; Pseudomonadota; Gammaproteobacteria; Enterobacterales; Enterobacteriaceae.
GGUUAAGCGACUAAGCGUACACGGUGGAUGCCCUGGCAGUCAGAGGCGAUGAAGGACGUGCUAAUCUGCGAUAAGCGUCGGUAAGGUGAUAUGAACCGUUAUAACCGGCGAUUUCCGAAUGGGGAAACCCAGUGUGAUUCGUCACACUAUCAUUAACUGAAUCCAUAGGUUAAUGAGGCGAACCGGGGGAACUGAAACAUCUAAGUACCCCGAGGAAAAGAAAUCAACCGAGAUUCCCCCAGUAGCGGCGAGCGAACGGGGAGCAGCCCAGAGCCUGAAUCAGUGUGUGUGUUAGUGGAAGCGUCUGGAAAGGCGCGCGAUACAGGGUGACAGCCCCGUACACAAAAAUGCACAUGCUGUGAGCUCGAUGAGUAGGGCGGGACACGUGGUAUCCUGUCUGAAUAUGGGGGGACCAUCCUCCAAGGCUAAAUACUCCUGACUGACCGAUAGUGAACCAGUACCGUGAGGGAAAGGCGAAAAGAACCCCGGCGAGGGGAGUGAAAAAGAACCUGAAACCGUGUACGUACAAGCAGUGGGAGCACGCUUAGGCGUGUGACUGCGUACCUUUUGUAUAAUGGGUCAGCGACUUAUAUUCUGUAGCAAGGUUAACCGAAUAGGGGAGCCGAAGGGAAACCGAGUCUUAACUGGGCGUUAAGUUGCAGGGUAUAGACCCGAAACCCGGUGAUCUAGCCAUGGGCAGGUUGAAGGUUGGGUAACACUAACUGGAGGACCGAACCGACUAAUGUUGAAAAAUUAGCGGAUGACUUGUGGCUGGGGGUGAAAGGCCAAUCAAACCGGGAGAUAGCUGGUUCUCCCCGAAAGCUAUUUAGGUAGCGCCUCGUGAAUUCAUCUCCGGGGGUAGAGCACUGUUUCGGCAAGGGGGUCAUCCCGACUUACCAACCCGAUGCAAACUGCGAAUACCGGAGAAUGUUAUCACGGGAGACACACGGCGGGUGCUAACGUCCGUCGUGAAGAGGGAAACAACCCAGACCGCCAGCUAAGGUCCCAAAGUCAUGGUUAAGUGGGAAACGAUGUGGGAAGGCCCAGACAGCCAGGAUGUUGGCUUAGAAGCAGCCAUCAUUUAAAGAAAGCGUAAUAGCUCACUGGUCGAGUCGGCCUGCGCGGAAGAUGUAACGGGGCUAAACCAUGCACCGAAGCUGCGGCAGCGACACUAUGUGUUGUUGGGUAGGGGAGCGUUCUGUAAGCCUGUGAAGGUGUACUGUGAGGUAUGCUGGAGGUAUCAGAAGUGCGAAUGCUGACAUAAGUAACGAUAAAGCGGGUGAAAAGCCCGCUCGCCGGAAGACCAAGGGUUCCUGUCCAACGUUAAUCGGGGCAGGGUGAGUCGACCCCUAAGGCGAGGCCGAAAGGCGUAGUCGAUGGGAAACAGGUUAAUAUUCCUGUACUUGGUGUUACUGCGAAGGGGGGACGGAGAAGGCUAUGUUGGCCGGGCGACGGUUGUCCCGGUUUAAGCGUGUAGGCUGGUUUUCCAGGCAAAUCCGGAAAAUCAAGGCUGAGGCGUGAUGACGAGGCACUACGGUGCUGAAGCAACAAAUGCCCUGCUUCCAGGAAAAGCCUCUAAGCAUCAGGUAACAUCAAAUCGUACCCCAAACCGACACAGGUGGUCAGGUAGAGAAUACCAAGGCGCUUGAGAGAACUCGGGUGAAGGAACUAGGCAAAAUGGUGCCGUAACUUCGGGAGAAGGCACGCUGAUAUGUAGGUGAAGCGACUUGCUCGUGGAGCUGAAAUCAGUCGAAGAUACCAGCUGGCUGCAACUGUUUAUUAAAAACACAGCACUGUGCAAACACGAAAGUGGACGUAUACGGUGUGACGCCUGCCCGGUGCCGGAAGGUUAAUUGAUGGGGUCAGCGCAAGCGAAGCUCUUGAUCGAAGCCCCGGUAAACGGCGGCCGUAACUAUAACGGUCCUAAGGUAGCGAAAUUCCUUGUCGGGUAAGUUCCGACCUGCACGAAUGGCGUAAUGAUGGCCAGGCUGUCUCCACCCGAGACUCAGUGAAAUUGAACUCGCUGUGAAGAUGCAGUGUACCCGCGGCAAGACGGAAAGACCCCGUGAACCUUUACUAUAGCUUGACACUGAACAUUGAGCCUUGAUGUGUAGGAUAGGUGGGAGGCUUUGAAGUGUGGACGCCAGUCUGCAUGGAGCCGACCUUGAAAUACCACCCUUUAAUGUUUGAUGUUCUAACGUUGACCCGUAAUCCGGGUUGCGGACAGUGUCUGGUGGGUAGUUUGACUGGGGCGGUCUCCUCCUAAAGAGUAACGGAGGAGCACGAAGGUUGGCUAAUCCUGGUCGGACAUCAGGAGGUUAGUGCAAUGGCAUAAGCCAGCUUGACUGCGAGCGUGACGGCGCGAGCAGGUGCGAAAGCAGGUCAUAGUGAUCCGGUGGUUCUGAAUGGAAGGGCCAUCGCUCAACGGAUAAAAGGUACUCCGGGGAUAACAGGCUGAUACCGCCCAAGAGUUCAUAUCGACGGCGGUGUUUGGCACCUCGAUGUCGGCUCAUCACAUCCUGGGGCUGAAGUAGGUCCCAAGGGUAUGGCUGUUCGCCAUUUAAAGUGGUACGCGAGCUGGGUUUAGAACGUCGUGAGACAGUUCGGUCCCUAUCUGCCGUGGGCGCUGGAGAACUGAGGGGGGCUGCUCCUAGUACGAGAGGACCGGAGUGGACGCAUCACUGGUGUUCGGGUUGUCAUGCCAAUGGCACUGCCCGGUAGCUAAAUGCGGAAGAGAUAAGUGCUGAAAGCAUCUAAGCACGAAACUUGCCCCGAGAUGAGUUCUCCCUGACUCCUUGAGAGUCCUGAAGGAACGUUGAAGACGACGACGUUGAUAGGCCGGGUGUGUAAGCGCAGCGAUGCGUUGAGCUAACCGGUACUAAUGAACCGUGAGGCUUAACCUU